This is a long non-coding RNA of Cavia porcellus (domestic guinea pig), 2249 nucleotides long. RefSeq lists it as uncharacterized. Lineage: Eukaryota; Metazoa; Chordata; Mammalia; Rodentia; Caviidae. The record is from RefSeq and is a predicted model, not a curated record. The transcript is spliced from 3 exons.
GGCUCCCGCCCUCCCGGCCUCCCGCCCAGCCCGGCGCAGGAAACCGAGCUGCGGACCAGGGACCCCGCGACCCGCCCUGGCCACCCCGGGGGACCAGUGACUCUGGCCACCCCAGGGGACCCCGCGACCCAGGCCACCCCGAGGAACCGCAGCUCCAUCCUGAGGGUGCAGUCCUGCUACCCAGCGCAGGAAACGGGAGCCUAGGACCUGAGGGGACCCCAGAGCCAGGCCACACAGGAGGUGUGGGGGACCUCGUCCCUCAAUCCUGACCACUUGAGACCUCAGGUCUCGGCCCCAGCCAUUGGGAAUCACUACCCCAGAGAAGCUGGCUCCCUCUCUCCAGCGCUCCGGCCUCACCCUGAGAAGCGCACCGACUCCAGGAUGCCCUUGAGUUCCUUCCGAGCACCCCACCUUCCCCACCCCAUGCCACGUCCAUAUUUGGCUCCCGAGGGAGCUGGACCUUCUCCUUCCUACGAUCCCUUCAGUAAGGGCUAAUUUCUCUCUUUAAAUCAUUUCAUAGAAGGAAAGAAUGCAAAGAGACUGCUGCCAGGGUGUGGUGGCACACCUCUGGCAUUCCAGCACUCCAGGAGGCUGAGGCAGGAGGAUUGCAAAUUCCAAACCAACUCGCAUUAUUUAGUGAUUUAGUAAGAUUCUGCCUCAAAAUUUAAAAAAAAUAAAAUACAUAAAAUGGAUUGGGAAUGUAGCUCAGUGCAAAGUCCCAGAGUUCAAUCCCCAGUAACAAUAAAUGAAUAAAUAAAUCCGUCCAUCCAUCCACUCAAACAUACUGUGGUCUACGGUGCAGCCCCCCAGGGCAACCCAGAAGUAGAGAUAGGACAGGCACGUGGAGCUGGGGACUGGUGUCCUCCUGGCAGCCUGUUUGGGUCUGGAAAGGCCCUCCUCCUGCAGACCAGCCCUCCUCCUGCCCUGCCUCCUUUAGUGGGUGCCUGCCCUCAGUCACUUCCCCACCCCCUGGCCUGAGGGUCCUCCCUGCCACAGGCCACAGCGUCAGGAGGCUGAGGACAGAUGAUUGUGAGAAACCUUGGAGCCCCGCAUCAGUCUCCAGUCAGGCGGGGCACCAAGUGAGGCUUGAGGCCCAGAGCAGAGGAAAGUCUGGCUUAUGUGUCCCCAUCAUCACAAAGCAGCGGGCCUCACUGUGGCCAGUGGCAGGGCUCCCCAAAUUGAGUGUCCAGGUCAGAGGACAGAGCACAGCGGCCAGGCUGCAGGGCCUGGGGCCUCCUGGCUUCCGCCAUCCACGUGCUAAGGCCGGGCCUGCUGAUCCCCCUCCUCCACCUGGCCUAGUCCUCACGGGGUCCCAGGGCUGCCAACCUCCACCCCUCCUGGGCCUCUCCAACCGCUGAGGCCCCCCUGUAGCCAGUCCUUUCUUUCCUUACCCUGGAGCUCCCAGGCGUCAACUGCUAGCUCCCCAGGCAGAGGUCCCUUGUGCCCGGCCUGGGAACUGGACCUACUUGCCAGUGGAAGGCGGCCCUCUUUCGUCCCAGCCCAGCUCCAGGGCGAGAGGUCUGGGGCCUCCGAGAAUGCACCUCACGCAUCUCCACAUUCCGAGCCCAGGUUCCGAGGCUCUGUGAGUCACACUGCCCAUUCACGGGGCUCGGUGUGUCCUGGGGCUGAAGCCGCUGGGCUCCUUAGAGCACUCCAAGCGGUGGGACCACCUGACCAGCUGGGACCUCCUGUCAGAGGACAUCUCGGACCCCCUGCAGACAGUGGAGGCAGCCACGUCAUGCAGUGGCCGCUGCCUGUGGCUUUCUCCGAUGGCUACUCCAGAGCGGCCCUGUCUCCUCUGCCUGGGGACAGGAGCCGGCAGGAAGUGCUGAUGUGCGGGACUGAAGGACAGGUCAGAGUGGAGCAGCCGAGCAGCUGGACGAUGGGGUUGCCGUGCCCUGGGAGGACGGGGCUGGGAGCUGUGUGACAGCAUGGAUGCCCCAGCUGGGAUCAGGACAGAGGCUCAGAUACAGGUGCAGUGGGGAGCCACAGACAGCCCCAGGUGGAAGCCAGAAGCCCAGAUGGGAGACCCAGCAGGACUUGGUAGUGUGAAUCUGUAAUCUCCACAUCACAGGAGGACUGCAAAUUCCAGCCCAUCCUCGGCAGUUUAGUCACUUAGAGCUUGUCCUAAAGCAGAAACUGGAAAGGGUGGGCCCAGGGUGUGGCGGUGCACACCCACGUUCCCAGCUCUUGGGGAGGCUGAGGCAGCACCUCCUCUCCAGCAAACCAACGCACCAACCAGCGAUGAA